Molecule: ribosomal RNA, 393 nt
Filed under: uncultured bacterium
Lineage: Bacteria
Description: partial 16S ribosomal RNA
Rfam family: Bacterial small subunit ribosomal RNA
Source: RNAcentral
AUACGGAGGAUGCAAGCGUUAUCCGGAUUUAUUGGGUUUAAAGGGUGCGUAGGCGGUUUGCUAAGCGGGAGGUGAAAUGCCGGCGCUCAACGUCGGAAGUGCCUCCCGAACUGGUGGACUGGAAUGACUCUGCCGUGGGAGGAAUGUGUAGUGUAGCGGUGAAAUGCUUAGAGAUUACACAGAACACCGAUUGCGAAGGCAUCUCACGAAGGGUUGAUUGACGCUGAGGCACGAAAGCGUGGGGAUCAAACAGGAUUAGAUACCCUGGUAGUCCACGCAGUAAACGAUGAUGGCUAACCGCUGGGCUUAUCAGUUCAGUGGCCAAGCGAAAGCGAUAAGCCAUCCACCUGGGGAGUACGACCGCAAGGCUGAAACUCAAAGGAAUUGACGGGG